AUGACCGUUUGCCACCUUCUUCUUGGACGCCCAUGGCAACUUGCUAGAGGUGUCAUCUACAACGGCGGAACGAACCACUACAUCUUCAAGAUGAAAGGAAAGGAGUAUGUACUUCUACCUAUGUCUCCAAGCCAAGUGAUCGCCGACAAGCAAGCCACCCAUCGUGGAGAGAAUAGUAAGAGAGCGAACCACCAAAAAGAGGGUGAGCGCCACAAGCCCAAAUCGAGUGCCUCCAUGAUGAACGACAAGAAGAACUUAGUUCUAUUUGCCACCAAAAGUGAGAUACGAGGAGUGUGUGAGAACCCAUCUAGUGUCCUAAACUAUGUCCUUUUGUGCAAGGACAACGCAACACAAGCUAACACCUCUCACGCUCUACCUUUAGUGUUGUCUUCUCUUUUGCAGGAAUUCAUCCCCGACGAGCUACCU
RNAcentral lists this ribosomal RNA (426 nucleotides) under Triticum aestivum (bread wheat). Its description in RNAcentral is "partial small subunit ribosomal RNA". Lineage: Eukaryota; Viridiplantae; Streptophyta; Magnoliopsida; Poales; Poaceae. The record is from RNAcentral.